This 372-nucleotide transfer-messenger RNA is filed under the name Mycolicibacterium lutetiense. Its description in RNAcentral is "Mycobacterium lutetiense Standard tmRNA". It matches the Rfam family "transfer-messenger RNA". Rfam says of the family: Bacterial tmRNA, also known as 10Sa RNA or SsrA, is named for its dual tRNA and mRNA-like properties. Its role is to liberate the mRNA from a stalled ribosome. The record is from RNAcentral. Lineage: Bacteria; Bacillati; Actinomycetota; Actinomycetes; Mycobacteriales; Mycobacteriaceae.
GGGGCUGAUCGGAUUCGACUUCGCGCAUCAAAUCAAGGGAAGCGUGCCGGUGCAGGCAAGAGACCACCGUAAGCGUCGUUGCAACCAAUUAAGCGCCGAUUCCAAUCAGCGCGACUACGCCCUCGCUGCCUAAGUAGCGACUGCGUGUCUGUCAGACCGGGAGCGCCCUCGGCCCGGACCCUGGCAUCAGCUAGAGGGACAAACCCAUACGUCCGGUCACGGGAUGUACGGGGACAUCAAACAGUGACUGGGAUCGUCAUCCUGACUUGUUCGCGUGAGCAGGAGAUCCAAGUAGAGACAUAGCGAACUGCGCACGGAGAAGCCUCGAGGACAUGCCGUAGGACCCGGGUUCAAUUCCCGGCAGCUCCACGA